UACAGAGGUGGCAAGCGUUGUUCGGAAUUACUGGGCGUAAAGGGCGCGUAGGCGGUUCGAUAAGUCCCGUGUGAAAUCCCUCGGCUCAACUGAGGAACUGCACGGGAAACUGACGGGCUUGAGUUCGGGAGAGGGAAGCGGAAUUCCGGGUGUAGCGGUGAAAUGCGUAGAUAUCCGGAGGAACACCGGUGGCGAAGGCGGCUUCCUGGACCGACACUGACGCUGAGGAGCGAAAGCGUGGGGAGCGAACAGG
Molecule: ribosomal RNA, 253 nt
Filed under: uncultured bacterium
Lineage: Bacteria
Description: partial 16S ribosomal RNA
Rfam family: Bacterial small subunit ribosomal RNA
Source: RNAcentral